AUAACCCUGCGAUUGAGUCCUUUAAGCACUAUAAAGAGUCAAUCUAUUAACUUGGGAGUCCGUCUCUGGCGUGUAUUACAAGCCUCCUUUGAGUGGAAGUAAAAAGCGCUCAGGAGGGCACCCACCGUGUCAUGCGGGUUCUUUAUGGGCUGGGACAAGGUUGCAGGGUUUUU
Molecule: non-coding RNA, 173 nt
Filed under: Candidatus Zhuqueibacterota bacterium
Lineage: Bacteria; Pseudomonadati
Description: candidate division KSB1 bacterium 6S RNA
Rfam family: 6S / SsrS RNA
About the family: E. coli 6S RNA was the first non coding RNA to be sequenced, but its function was unknown until recently.
Source: RNAcentral